This 460-nucleotide ribosomal RNA is filed under the name uncultured bacterium. RNAcentral's name for it is "partial 16S ribosomal RNA". It matches the Rfam family "Bacterial small subunit ribosomal RNA", at positions 338 to 795 of the family's 1533-position model. The record is from RNAcentral.
CCUACGGGUGGCAGCAGUGAGGAAUAUUGGUCAAUGGCCGCAAGGCUGAACCAGCCAUGCCGCGUGAAGGUCAGUGCCCUAUGGGCGUUAAACUUCUUUUGUGCGGGAGCAAUAAUGGUCACGUGUGGCCAGACGAGAGUACCGUACGAAUAAGCAUCGGCUAACUCCGCGCCAGCAGCCGCGGUAAUACGGGGGAUGCGAGCGUUAUCCGGAUUUAUUGGGUUUAAAGGGUGCGUAGGCUGGGAGGUAAGUCAGCGGUGAAAUGCCCCCGCUCAACGGGGUGAAGUGCCAUUGAUACUGGCUUGCUGGAAUGCGGAUGCCGUGGGAGGAAUGUGUGGUGUAGCGGUGAAAUGCAUAGAUAUCACACAGAACACCGAUUGCGAAGGCAGCUCACGAAUCCGCGAUUGACGCUGAUGCACGAAAGCGUGGGUAUCAAACAGGAUUAGAUACCCCAGUAGUC